Molecule: non-coding RNA, 91 nt
Filed under: Paenibacillus sp. yr247
Lineage: Bacteria; Bacillati; Bacillota; Bacilli; Caryophanales; Paenibacillaceae
Description: c-di-GMP-I riboswitch aptamer
Rfam family: c-di-GMP-I riboswitch aptamer
About the family: GEMM was predicted in a large-scale screen for bacterial structured RNA regulatory elements. Genes associated with GEMM are involved in a diverse array of functions, including chemotaxis regulation, signal transduction, secretion and chitin.
Source: Rfam by way of RNAcentral
UCAUGAAAAAGGCAAAUCCGGUGAAAGCCGGGGACGCAAAGCUACAGGGGCUAACGUGCACAUCCGUGCACUAUGCCAGCCAGUUACCAAA